UGGAGCAGUGGCACUAUACGGCUUCUGAAGGGGUUCUAUAAAUCAAACCAUUUUGCUUCCCUUUAUGCAGCAAAUGAUGAUGCGGAGAGAAAAAACGCCUACUUCAAAUUUAUAUAUACAAGAGGCAGCGUGCAGAUACCUGGGAGAGAAAGCGAAUCAGCACCAAAAAAGGCUCAAAUAGAAAUCGCUUGUCGCUUAAUUAAUUUCUGAGACCGCCUCUUAAAUAUUCGUAAAUAGAACAGAGACGGAGUAUCUUCUUUUUUUCCUGUGUAUCUUGUAGGUCUCUUCGUAAAGAGGAAGAAAGGCUCAUGUAAAAGAUGGAGGAAUUGGCUGUAGUAUCGGAGCGAUGGCGGAGAGUAGUAGAUGAAGAUUAAGGUAUUGGCGCGCCUCAACGUAAAGACGUGGUUAGAUGGUUGUAUUAGCCAUUUAUUUUCAUUGAGCCGCGUCAAUAUCUCCUUCUGCUCCUCUCUCCCUCCAUCUCUUUGGCUUCAGAAUCAAUUUCCGGUUCUUGUGUUUUGUCAGAAUCGUCGUUCUAAGUUAGAUGGCUUGGCAGGAGCCAUAACUGCAAGUUUAAUGGGACCUACUACCCUUUGCUCUCAGUUGGGCUGCAUUAAAUUGGAUUCCUUUGCGGCCCUACCAAUUAGUAUUACUUUCGCCUUUGUCAAUUAUGAUGUUUCUUCAAACAGUCUCUUUGCAAAUGUACAGUUGCUAGAUAUUUUAUAUAUAUACAUAUGGUAGAAAAACUAGCUAACCGGGGUUUCUUUCUCAUGAUCCAAUAAUUCUUAAUAGUUUUUUUUAAUUGGUCAUUGUAAAACGCUACAAAACAUUAGUUGUUGUGGAUAAUGAUGUCUGGAAUCACAAAAAUUCACCCAGAUUGGGUAUUUGUAA
This is a long non-coding RNA of Mangifera indica (mango), 888 nucleotides long. RefSeq lists it as uncharacterized. The transcript is spliced from 2 exons. NCBI's taxonomy places the organism in Eukaryota, Viridiplantae, Streptophyta, Magnoliopsida, Sapindales, Anacardiaceae. The record is from RefSeq and is a predicted model, not a curated record.